ACAGUUUGGGAUCUCGGCAACAUCUUACCAGGCAGCAUUUAGUUUUUGAAAGGAAUACUAAUACUGUCUGGUAAUGAUGUUGGUGGGGUUCAAACAGU
RNAcentral lists this microRNA precursor (98 nucleotides) under Branchiostoma floridae (Florida lancelet). RNAcentral's name for it is "microRNA bfl-mir-200b precursor". Its record names the gene bfl-mir-200b. The stretch from base 16 to 84 matches the Rfam family "mir-8/mir-141/mir-200 microRNA precursor family". Rfam says of the family: The bounds of the precursors are predicted based on conservation and base pairing and are not generally known. The record is from miRBase by way of RNAcentral. Lineage: Eukaryota; Metazoa; Chordata; Leptocardii; Amphioxiformes; Branchiostomatidae.